CUUUCCCCAGCAGGAAAGAGACCAGCUAAAGUAGCAUGUAAUAUCCUUCCUAUUCCCAGGCAGCUGUCUGAGGCUUCUCUUUCCUCUGGUCAAAUCUGAUUUGUAUUUCUUCCUGGUUAACACCCCUAGAGUGCUCCAGCUUGCUCUCUGCCUG
Long non-coding RNA from Neotoma lepida (desert woodrat), 154 nucleotides. It matches the Rfam family "Pregnancy induced noncoding RNA". Lineage: Eukaryota; Metazoa; Chordata; Mammalia; Rodentia; Cricetidae. The record is from Rfam.